Non-coding RNA from Callorhinus ursinus (northern fur seal), 239 nucleotides. The record is from RefSeq and is a predicted model, not a curated record. Lineage: Eukaryota; Metazoa; Chordata; Mammalia; Carnivora; Otariidae.
ACAAGCAGUCAUUCCAGUACAAGACAUGGACAUUUGUGGUCUCGCCUCCCUUCAAGUACUUCAUCAUGGCCAUGAUCGCCCUCAACACAGUGGUGCUAAUGAUGAAGUUCUAUGACGCACCAUAUGAAUAUGAGCUAAUGUUGAAAUGCCUGAACAUUGUGUUCACAUCCAUGUUCUCCAUGGAAUGCGUGCUGAAGAUCAUCGCUUUUGGGGUGCUGAACUAUUUCAGAGAUGCCUGG